Molecule: ribosomal RNA, 465 nt
Filed under: uncultured bacterium
Lineage: Bacteria
Description: partial 16S ribosomal RNA
Rfam family: Bacterial small subunit ribosomal RNA
Source: RNAcentral
GACGAACGCUGGCGGCGUGCUUAACACAUGCAAGUCGAACGGAAAGGCCCUGCUUGCCGGGUACUCGAGUGGCGAACGGGUGAGUAACACGUGGGUGAUCUGCCCUGCACUUCGGGAUAAGCCUGGGAAACUGGGUCUAAUACCGGAUAGGAGCCAUUUUUAGUGUGAUGGUUGGAAAGUUUUUUCGGUGUAGGAUGAGCUCGCGGCCUAUCAGCUUGUUGGUGGGGUAAUGGCCUACCAAGGCGGCGACGGGUAGCCGGCCUGAGAGGGUGGACGGCCACAUUGGGACUGAGAUACGGCCCAGACUCCUACGGGAGGCAGCAGUGGGGAAUAUUGCACAAUGGGCGCAAGCCUGAUGCAGCGACGCCGCGUGGGGGAGGACGGCCUUCGGGUUGGAAACUCCUUUCGCUAGGGACGAAGCUUUUUGUGACGGUACCUAGAUAAGAAGCACCGGCUAACUACGUG